UUGAAUAAAUCUGACUUGGUUGUUGCUGGUCUUUUCGGAGACAGGUGCACGCCUUGUCAUCUUUAUAUUUCCACCUGUGCACCUUUUGUAGAUUUGAAGGCACUUUUUUCGGGGUAACUCGGUCAUGAGGAAAUGCUUCCAAUGGGCUUUCUUUGAAUGUCUUCAACAUCUAUGUUUCAUAUACCCAUAUAAAUGUAAUAGAAUGUCAUUAUCAGACUUAUGUCUUAUA
RNAcentral lists this unclassified non-coding RNA (229 nucleotides) under soil metagenome. Its description in RNAcentral is "partial internal transcribed spacer 1". The record is from RNAcentral.